CAUUAAUUUAAGUGGAGUUAUUUGGCUCUCUAUUUUCUAUACUUCAUAAUGUAUUUCUAACCUUUAAAGUGACAUAGGCAAGCACCAGAUUGCAGGAGCACUUAUUAACAGCCUAUUAAAAUAUUUUAUGGCCUUUAUUUUUACGUUGCCAUAGGGAAUCAAGUAUUUUGCUGUUGUUGAACUGGCUCAGGAUUUAUGUGGCAACAGCUUCACCACAGCCUAACGCAGAACAGCGCUAGGAAAUGAACUGGGAGAACAAACUCCCAUUCAGCUCCUCAUGUGCCAUAAAGAUGUCAAAUGCAGAUCACAGCAAGGGGCCCUCCAAUCCAGCUCUUUGGUUUUGUUUGUUAUUUAAAUAUAAGCUGACAAGAGAAGAUCCAGUGCACUGGAGCCAUGCUGAGAGCCACCAAAGGCAACAUGCUUGUAGAGAAACUUAUCUAGAGCUGCUGUACCACAUCCACAUUUAGCAACAGCGUUACCACAGAAUUAGGAAGACCGUGAUCUUACCUAGAAGACUGUGAUCCCACCUAAAGGAAUUCUGGAGAUGACUGUAUGAAACGAAUGAAAGACUACCAUGCUGAGAUUGGUCCCGGACAUCCAGGAGGGACUGCUUCUCCAAUUUCAUCUUACAGCUGAACGAUGGCAGGAGAAACAGUGACACACCACAGAGCAGCCUGCCCCCAACCCAGGCAAGGACAAAUACGGCAGACGAACACUGCAGGUCCCACAGCUCACAAAAUCACAGGCUCACUCAGCUGUGCCUGCAUGCUUGCGAGGUUGAGCCUAAGAAACAAAAACUUCACCCUGAAGACCAGUGACAAGGCAUGCCAGAGGCACUGAAAGUUUUGAUUUCUGGGGAAGUUUUCAAAGAGGGACUGACCUACUUUACAUUGAAGGGACAUCUGCAAUUGCUGCACAACGUUAACAACAAUAACCUCACUGAGAACCAUCUUGCAACGGUACCAUUCAGUCAUUCCUAACAAGCUCGCCUCUUCUCCAGCUCCUGCCACAGAAGAGAAGGGAUACCAGCUUCCAGUGGUGUCACACAAUGCUGUGCUUUCUUGGGCGUGCAGUAAAGCACUGACACCAACAAUUUUCCCCUGAAGUACAUUAGAUUGUUUUAUUAAUUAGUAGCCUCCCCAUCUUAUCACACAGUGCACCUGAAAUCCCACUUGUAUUUCUGAAUCAAGUAAUUAAAGGCAGAGGUACUUGAAUAAACAAGCAGUGACAGAGACUAAUAUUCCAUCAAUAUAAUGAGGCAGCUUACGAGACAGUGAGAUGCCCUGGCUCAGACAUUAUCUAAGUCCAAGGGCAAAGCACGCCUUGGAUGGCGAGUGUGUCCUCUGCUACAGGCACCCCCAGGUAAACCCCAGUAACUUGGCUGAAACUAAUCAGAUUCCGGGGAGAAUUUAGGUCAUUAAAUCUGUCAGUGGCCAAAAUAAACAGAAAAGAAGAAAGGCUGCCGCACUCAGAGCAUGGAGAAAUAGCAAUGAUCAACAGUUUCAACACCUUCCCUGUAGAGAUGGCAAUAAUUACCUGGUAAUUAUCGGGUGCAAUUUCCUCUUAUGUAAAGGGACUAGGUUACCUGCUUCAAGGAUAGCAAAUGUAACUUUGCUUCCUUCAUGCAAAAUUGAAUGGAAAAUGCCACCACAGGCACUGACUGAACACUAACACGAGCUGAAUCGCUUUAAAGACAGUCUUUCAACAACAGCCACUUGUUGGUAUCCAUUAGAAACCGCUCCACAGUGCUGUAAUCCAGUACCUUAUUAUCACUGCUGUCAGCAGAGUUGGUUCCCUUGCAUGCCAUCAUAGAGGAACAGGGGCAUAAACAACACAGGAAGAAAGAAGCAGAGAGAAAUAAAAA
Long non-coding RNA from Numida meleagris (helmeted guineafowl), 1864 nucleotides. RefSeq lists it as uncharacterized. NCBI's taxonomy places the organism in Eukaryota, Metazoa, Chordata, Aves, Galliformes, Numididae. The record is from RefSeq and is a predicted model, not a curated record. The transcript is spliced from 3 exons.